This 366-nucleotide ribosomal RNA is filed under the name uncultured bacterium. Its description in RNAcentral is "partial 16S ribosomal RNA". It matches the Rfam family "Bacterial small subunit ribosomal RNA", at positions 338 to 702 of the family's 1533-position model. The record is from RNAcentral.
CCUACGGGAGGCAGCAGUGAGGAAUAUUGGUCAAUGGCCGGAAGGCUGAACCAGCCAAGCCGCGUGAGGGAGGAAGGCGCAGAGCGUCGCAGACCUCUUUUGCCGGGGGACAAAAGGCCGGACGCGUCCGGUCCUGAGGGUACCCGGAGAAAAAGCAUCGGCCAACUCCGUGCCAGCAGCCGCGGUAAUACGGAGGAUGCUCGCGUUAGCCGGAUGCAUUGGGUUUAAAGGGUGCGCAGGAGGGCCUUUAAGCCGGCGGUGAAAUCGCGGGGCGCAACCCCGCCGAGCCGUCGGAACUGGGGGCCUUGAGUGCGGCGGAGCCAUGCGGCAUGCGCGGUGUAGCGGUGACAUGCAUAGCUAUCCCGC